AAGUAGGCUAUUCUAUCAAUAUAAUUAGUAAUUAGUUCAGCCAAAAGCCUGUAUCUCACUAUCUCACUACUAAACUACAUAUAUAUUCCUCAAUUGCUGUUUCACAGCUGUUCUGCAAGCAUGGAGAGGAAUCAGUCUUCAUGUCAGUGAUAAUAGGAAAGGAAGAGACAUCCACAGCCACCCAUGAAAGAUUGGAAAUAUUAUAGACAGAAAAACUGCUGCCUAAUUUGAGAUGCUCAUAAUGUGAAUACCAGUGUAAAGAAAUAAUAGAGCUAACUCAAUACUUGAAAUCUUGAAUAUAGUACGUACUCUAUUAAAGUGAUGCUUUACACACAGUAAUAACCAAAGCACACAAACCUUUUUUGUCCAAAUUGUUGAACUACUGCAUGAGCUAUAUAUAUUCUCUUCGACUUUCUAUUGAGAUGAAACCACUAUGCA
Molecule: unclassified non-coding RNA, 438 nt
Filed under: Hevea brasiliensis (rubber tree)
Lineage: Eukaryota; Viridiplantae; Streptophyta; Magnoliopsida; Malpighiales; Euphorbiaceae
Source: RNAcentral